This 468-nucleotide ribosomal RNA is filed under the name uncultured bacterium. RNAcentral's name for it is "partial 16S ribosomal RNA". It matches the Rfam family "Bacterial small subunit ribosomal RNA", at positions 28 to 507 of the family's 1533-position model. The record is from RNAcentral.
GACGAACGCUGGCGGCGUGCUUAACACAUGCAAGUCGAACGGAAAGGCCCUGCUUUUGUGGGGUGCUCGAGUGGCGAACGGGUGAGUAACACGUGAGUAACCUGCCCUUGACUUUGGGAUAACUUCAGGAAACUCGGGCUAAUAUCGGAUAUGAGCUCCUGCUGCAUGGUGUGGGUUGGAAAGUUUCGGCGGUUGGGGAUUGACUCGCGUCUUAUCAGCUUGUUGGUGGGGUAGUGGCUUACCAAGGCUUUGACGGGUAGCCGGCCUGAGAGGGUGACCGGACACAUGGGGACUGAGAUAGGGCGCAGAAGGGUAUGGGAGGCAACAGGGGAGAGUAUGGCGGAAUAAGCGGAAGUCAGAUACAGAGGCGCCGGGUGCGGGAUAACGGGCUUCGAGGUGAAAACCGAUUUCGAAUGAAACGAAGCGUGAGUGACGGUAAUGAGUAAAGAAGCACCGGCUAACUACGUG